Molecule: ribosomal RNA, 180 nt
Filed under: uncultured eukaryote
Lineage: Eukaryota
Description: partial 18S ribosomal RNA
Rfam family: Eukaryotic small subunit ribosomal RNA
Source: RNAcentral
UGGUAGAGUGAUUUGUCUGGUUGAUUCCGUUAACGAACGAGAUCUUGACGGCUUAAUGACAGUUUGAUCGACAUGUAGUUCAGUGCACUUGCGCUUGCGUAACGUUGCUGGAUGAGAUCUUGUCUUGUACUUAGCCGGACGAUGCAUGUUUACAAUGCAUGGAAGUGCGAGCCAAUAGCA